This 561-nucleotide long non-coding RNA is filed under the name Calidris pugnax (ruff). RNAcentral describes it as "lncRNA (ENSCPUG00000006740.1)". The record is from RNAcentral. Lineage: Eukaryota; Metazoa; Chordata; Aves; Charadriiformes; Scolopacidae.
CCUAAUUUAGGGGAGACUGACUCAUCGUUUUUAAACCCUCAGAGUUUUUGGUAUGACUGGUGUUUAUUGAGGCACUGAUGUUUUGCUGCUUCUUGUAGGGAAGACAGAGAGCGAUGGCCUGACUUAAGGAGCUCAGCAUCUCAACCCCAUCCAGGUGUUCCUGCUGCUGUCAUCAGCUUGUUGUCUGAGGCCCCAGAGUGGGGCUUUUGGGGGAGUGGUGCAGGCACCAGAAUACUUACGAGGAGCGGAGACUGUAAACUAAGCUCAUUUUGAACUGACCCUGCUCCAGUCCUUGGGCAGACUUCAGAGGGCAGUUGCUUGUUUUCUGAAGAUACCUGAAAACAGAUAUUUCACUGGAUACAGCUCCUCAUCUCUUCCUCUGCUUGCCCUGAGACUUUUGCACUCGCUGCCUCUUUGCACAUCUGUUUUUUGGCUGCUGCCAUCUCUUUCUUGCACCUGCUGCACCUAGUGAGCUGAAAGAGCCCUGGCAUUAAAGGGUCAGCUUCCUUGCCAGGUUCCUGAACUAGAAUCUGACAAGAAGGGCCACGGAUACUGGAAAUG